Molecule: ribosomal RNA, 524 nt
Filed under: uncultured bacterium
Lineage: Bacteria
Description: bacterial SSU rRNA
Rfam family: Bacterial small subunit ribosomal RNA
Source: RNAcentral
UGGGGAAUAUUGCACAAUGGGGGAAACCCUGAUGCAGCGACGCCGCGUGAGUGAAGAAGUAUUUCGGUAUGUAAAGCUCUAUCAGCAGGGAAGAUAAUGACAGUACCUGACUAAGAAGCCCCGGCUAACUACGUGCCAGCAGCCGCGGUAAUACGUAGGGGGCAAGCGUUAUCCGGAUUUACUGGGUGUAAAGGGAGCGUAGACGGAAUGGCAAGUCUGAAGUGAAAUACCCGGGCUCAACCUGGGAGCUGCUUUGGAAACUGUUGUUCUAGAGUGUUGGAGAGGUAAGUGGAAUUCCUGGUGUAGCGGUGAAAUGCGUAGAUAUCAGGAAGAACACCGGAGGCGAAGGCGGCUUACUGGACAAUAACUGACGUUGAGGCUCGAAAGCGUGGGGAUCAAACAGGAUUAGAUACCCUGGUAGUCCACGCUGUAAACGAUGAAUACUAGGUGUCGGGGUACAAAGUAUCUCGGUGCCGUCGCUAACGCAAUAAGUAUUCCACCUGGGGAGUACGUUCGCAAGAAUG